This 1207-nucleotide ribosomal RNA is filed under the name Leuconostoc mesenteroides. RNAcentral describes it as "bacterial SSU rRNA". It matches the Rfam family "Bacterial small subunit ribosomal RNA", at positions 31 to 1222 of the family's 1533-position model. Lineage: Bacteria; Bacillati; Bacillota; Bacilli; Lactobacillales; Lactobacillaceae. The record is from RNAcentral.
GAACGGGGGGGCGUGCCUAAUACAUGCAGUCGAACGCACAGCGAAAGGUGCUUGCACCUUUCAAGUGAGUGGCGAACGGGUGAGUAACACGUGGACAACCUGCCUCAAGGCUGGGGAUAACAUUUGGAAACAGAUGCUAAUACCGAAUAAAACUUAGUGUCGCAUGACACAAAGUUAAAAGGCGCUUCGGCGUCACCUAGAGAUGGAUCCGCGGUGCAUUAGUUAGUUGGUGGGGUAAAGGCCUACCAAGACAAUGAUGCAUAGCCGAGUUGAGAGACUGAUCGGCCACAUUGGGACUGAGACACGGCCCAAACUCCUACGGGAGGCUGCAGUAGGGAAUCUUCCACAAUGGGCGAAAGCCUGAUGGAGCAACGCCGCGUGUGUGAUGAAGGCUUUCGGGUCGUAAAGCACUGUUGUAUGGGAAGAACAGCUAGAAUAGGAAAUGAUUUUAGUUUGACGGUACCAUACCAGAAAGGGACGGCUAAAUACGUGCCAGCAGCCGCGGUAAUACGUAUGUCCCGAGCGUUAUCCGGAUUUAUUGGGCGUAAAGCGAGCGCAGACGGUUUAUUAAGUCUGAUGUGAAAGCCCGGAGCUCAACUCCGGAAUGGCAUUGGAAACUGGUUAACUUGAGUGCAGUAGAGGUAAGUGGAACUCCAUGUGUAGCGGUGGAAUGCGUAGAUAUAUGGAAGAACACCAGUGGCGAAGGCGGCUUACUGGACUGCAACUGACGUUGAGGCUCGAAAGUGUGGGUAGCAAACAGGAUUAGAUACCCUGGUAGUCCACACCGUAAACGAUGAACACUAGGUGUUAGGAGGUUUCCGCCUCUUAGUGCCGAAGCUAACGCAUUAAGUGUUCCGCCUGGGGAGUACGACCGCAAGGUUGAAACUCAAAGGAAUUGACGGGGACCCGCACAAGCGGUGGAGCAUGUGGUUUAAUUCGAAGCAACGCGAAGAACCUUACCAGGUCUUGACAUCCUUUGAAGCUUUUAGAGAUAGAAGUGUUCUCUUCGGAGACAAAGUGACAGGUGGUGCAUGGUCGUCGUCAGCUCGUGUCGUGAGAUGUUGGGUUAAGUCCCGCAACGAGCGCAACCCUUAUUGUUAGUUGCCAGCAUUCAGAUGGGGACUCUAGCGAGAAUGCCGGUGACAAACCGGAGGAAGGGGGGGACAACGUCGGAUCAUCAUGCCCCUUUUAACUGGGGUAAAACCGG